This 279-nucleotide ribosomal RNA is filed under the name uncultured bacterium. RNAcentral's name for it is "partial 16S ribosomal RNA". It matches the Rfam family "Bacterial small subunit ribosomal RNA", at positions 506 to 784 of the family's 1533-position model. The record is from RNAcentral.
UGCCAGCCGCCGCGGUAAUACGUAGGGAGCAAGCGUUGUCCGGAGUUAUUGGGCGUAAAGGGUGCGUAGGCGGUUUUGUAAGUCAGAUGUGAAAGCCCGGGGCUCAACCCCGGAAGUGCAUUGGAAACUGGCGAACUUGAGUACGGGAGAGGAAAGUGGAAUUCCGAGUGUAGGGGUGAAAUCCGUAGAUAUUCGGAGGAACACCAGUGGCGAAGGCGGCUUUCUGGACCGAUACUGACGCUGAGACGCGAAAGCGUGGGGAGCAAACAGGAUUAGAUA